UACGUAGGGUGCGAGCGUUGUCCGGAAUUAUUGGGCGUAAAGGGCUCGUAGGCGGUUUGUCGCGUCGGGAGUGAAAACCUUGGGCUUAACUCAGGGCUUGCUUUCGAUACGGGCAGACUAGAGGUAUGCAGGGGAGAACGGAAUUCCUGGUGUAGCGGUGAAAUGCGCAGAUAUCAGGAGGAACACCGGUGGCGAAGGCGGUUCUCUGGGCAUGUCCUGACGCUGAGGAGCGAAAGUGCGGGGAGCGAACAGG
This 253-nucleotide ribosomal RNA is filed under the name uncultured bacterium. RNAcentral describes it as "partial 16S ribosomal RNA". It matches the Rfam family "Bacterial small subunit ribosomal RNA", at positions 524 to 776 of the family's 1533-position model. The record is from RNAcentral.